This 213-nucleotide ribosomal RNA is filed under the name Escherichia coli. RNAcentral describes it as "partial 23S ribosomal RNA". It matches the Rfam family "Bacterial large subunit ribosomal RNA", at positions 1133 to 1345 of the family's 2925-position model. The record is from RNAcentral. Lineage: Bacteria; Pseudomonadati; Pseudomonadota; Gammaproteobacteria; Enterobacterales; Enterobacteriaceae.
CGUAAUAGCUCACUGGUCGAGUCGGCCUGCGCGGAAGAUGUAACGGGGCUAAACCAUGCACCGAAGCUGCGGCAGCGACACUAUGUGUUGUUGGGUAGGGGAGCGUUCUGUAAGCCUGUGAAGGUGUACUGUGAGGUAUGCUGGAGGUAUCAGAAGUGCGAAUGCUGACAUAAGUAACGAUAAAGCGGGUGAAAAGCCCGCUCGCCGGAAGAC